UGCCUGCUUUCAACUUUGACUCCUGAUCUGUGAUCUGUUACUACUACUCUGAUCUCCAGCCCCGGUGUUGAGAAUUUCAAAGUGUGAGGAGGGUCAUGACCUCAUCCAUCACAGCACCGCUACACUACCAGGUUCAGACAUUAUUUUACACCCUGGACGCUGAGUGUGCCAUACAGUGAUCCACAUACUGCAGGUCCAGAGUGCGAGGAGAACGCUUCAUAUUCAAACCAUCAUGUGUCAGCGAGACCCUGAUAUCUGACGAGCUCUACGUUCCGCAGCUCUGUGCCCCAGACUCUCGGCCCUCUCCUGUUCCCAUGAGAAUGAUCUCCGGUUGGGGCAGAAGCCACUCGCUGUGUAACCCUCUGCUCUCCCCCAAAGGAGGGCUGACAUUAAGUGAGCGACCCGGCCCCCGCCAACAUGAAGAUGUAUGCCCCAGCACAGCAGUAACAGUGGAGGAAAUAAGGCUGUCUUAUGUCAAAAUAAAUAAGUAAGAUGAUGAGAGCAGCUGUUUAUCUGCGUGUGACCAGCAGAGGAUGGUGCAGCAACACUUUGGAUCUGUGUUAUUGUUUUAAGAAAUGUGUCUCUAAUCUCUGCUUGUAUCAAAGAAAUGCAUCAGUAUCAGUCGACUGUGCAAAUAAACUCAAUAAUUGACAACUCGCAUCGCUCCCCACAUGUUGAGCUUGUGUUUCACAAGCCUGGGACUAAGCCAUCUGUCUGGAACUAAUCUUCAUCUCCAUGUCGAGCGAAG
Cottoperca gobio is the source of this 748-nucleotide long non-coding RNA. RefSeq lists it as uncharacterized. NCBI's taxonomy places the organism in Eukaryota, Metazoa, Chordata, Actinopteri, Perciformes, Bovichtidae. The record is from RefSeq and is a predicted model, not a curated record. The transcript has 3 exons.